This is a non-coding RNA of Vibrio ponticus, 179 nucleotides long. The record is from Rfam. Lineage: Bacteria; Pseudomonadati; Pseudomonadota; Gammaproteobacteria; Vibrionales; Vibrionaceae.
AAACACAGAAGAGGAGCACUGCCUAGGUAGAUGCAUCGUGGAGCCGCAACUCCAACACGAUUCAUUGAGGGAGAGUAGUGCCGAGACAUCGCUAAAUUGUCGGUUUAGUGAAGUCGGUUGACCUGAGUUGACUCUCAUCAACUGUCAUCAGCACUGUCUGAUGAUGCGCUUCUGAGGUG